GCUGCAACUCGCCUACAUGAAGUCGGAAUUNCUAGUAAUCGCGGAUCAGCAUGCCGCGGUGAAUACGUUCCCGGGCCUUGUACACACCGCCCGUCACACCAUGAGAGCCGGUAACACCCGAAGUCAGUAGCCUAACCGCAAGGGGGGCGCUGCCGAAGGUGGGAUUGGUGAUUGGGGUGAAGUCGUAACAAGGUAUC
RNAcentral lists this ribosomal RNA (197 nucleotides) under uncultured bacterium. RNAcentral's name for it is "partial 16S ribosomal RNA". It matches the Rfam family "Bacterial small subunit ribosomal RNA", at positions 1304 to 1500 of the family's 1533-position model. The record is from RNAcentral.